This 587-nucleotide ribosomal RNA is filed under the name uncultured Gammaproteobacteria bacterium. RNAcentral's name for it is "bacterial SSU rRNA". It matches the Rfam family "Bacterial small subunit ribosomal RNA", at positions 1 to 544 of the family's 1533-position model. Lineage: Bacteria; Pseudomonadati; Pseudomonadota; Gammaproteobacteria. The record is from RNAcentral.
CCCAUAUGGUCGACCUGCAGGCGGCCGCGAAUUCACUAGUGAUUAGAGUUUGAUCAUGGCUCAGAUUGAACGCUGGCGGCAUGCCUUACACAUGCAAGUCGAACGGCAGCACGGGGGCAACCCUGGUGGCGAGUGGCGAACGGGUGAGUAAUACAUCGGAACGUGUCCUGGAGUGGGGGAUAGCCCGGCGAAAGCCGGAUUAAUACCGCAUACGCUCUAUGGAGGAAAGGGGGGGAUCUUCGGACCUCCCGCUCAAGGGGCGGCCGAUGGCAGAUUAGCUAGUUGGUGGGGUAAUGGCUCACCAAGGCGACGAUCCGUAACUGGUCUGAGAGGAUGAUCAGUCACACUGGAACUGAGACACGGUCCAGACUCCUACGGGAGGCAGCAGUGGGGAAUAUUGGACAAUGGGCGAAAGCCUGAUCCAGCCAUGCCGCGUGUGUGAAGAAGGUCUUCGGAUUGUAAAGCACUUUAAGUUGGGAGGAGGGGCAUUAACCUAAUACGUUAGUGUUUUGACGUUACCGACAGAAUAAGCACCGGCUAACUCUGUGCCAGCAGCCGCGGUAAUACGAAUCGAAUUCCCGCGGCCG